Molecule: long non-coding RNA, 1920 nt
Filed under: Equus caballus (horse)
Lineage: Eukaryota; Metazoa; Chordata; Mammalia; Perissodactyla; Equidae
Description: lncRNA (ENSECAG00000046865.1)
Source: RNAcentral
CUCAUUCUCACUACACCGACCUUACCAGCUGUGCAACAAGGCCUUUGCUCUCUUAGACUAUUUUCUGGCGUGAACUUUCUGGAUCUUGUGAAGGCUCCUUUUGCACUCUCUUUUGGGGACGCCUCUUGCAUCCAUGGUUAAGCCAUAAAAGGCUUAUUGGUUUGAAUCGCUAUUAAAAUUCUACUUGUCAGUGGCCCUUAAAUUAGAAAAACUUCUAAAUUAGAAACAUUUUUAGAGCCGUCUUAUCAUAAACAGCUGUUUUAUUAGUACCUAUGGAAAGACCAAAUUAAAAAGAAAUACAAAGAAAUAACAGCUAGCCUCAAGAACACAAUGGAAUUUGGGGUCUCAGCUUCCCCUCUUGGUCUUAGAGAUGCUAAUGAGAGCAUUAAGAGAGAUUCAUGGAAAGGACUAUGACAAUCUAGAAAAAACAGAUUUCUGAUAAACUUUUAGAUCAUAAAACUGAAUUGGGCAAGAAAUUAUAGAACUCCAACAGUGAAAUUGAUGGCUUCAGAAAACUGCUAACAAAAGAUCAAGGUGAAGAAUCAAUUACCUGGGACUGAAUGAACUGAUCAGGAUGAUUAUAACUUUUGUGACUUUUUGUGUAAAAUAUUGCUGGUUCUUUUAAUAUUUUGUUUUUCCAGAUUUAACAAAACUUUCUUCUCUUUUCUCUUAAGCUAACUGUGACUUAUAGCAAUUUGGUAAAUUAUACUUUUUAAGCAGAAUUGAAACAUUACCUUUUUCUCCCUACCUGAUCCCUCCAGUAUUUGGAAACUCUUAGUGAAUGAGUAGUCUUAUUUUCAUGGCACUAUAGUUGCUUGCAUAAGUUCAGUAAGAAUCUGUUCUCCUUAUAGGAGGACACAAUUGGAAACAUUGGUUAUAUUACCAAGGCUUUGACUGGAAGGUCAUAUUUGAGAGAGACAUGCAUAGAUUCAGAUAUGACCAGACAGCUUGAAGGAACAAAGGUUGACUUUAUGGAAAAAAUAAAGCCACUUGGAAGUAUCAGCCUGGUACCUUGCUUACAGGGUUCCCAGCAAACUUGCCAAGUGAGUAAGGAAGGUCACUUCCUGGCAGGUGCAAGAACCUCAGGAUAUUUUGGGGACCUCAAGAAGAGAGGAAUUCACCAAAAUCUAUAGGUAUUGGUAUUGCAGGCAGAGUCUGAUGACAAGUCCUUGGCUUGGCUUUCCUGCCCAUGAGAGGCCUUUAAAGUUCAAUCUGAGGUUCCUUAUAAAAAAUUCCAGCAAAGCAGAUUUAAAAGAAACUAUAUGAUCAAUUGCUAUUCUUGCUGUACUUAUGAAAAUAAUUGAGCCAAAUUUAUUGAAACUAGACUUAUUUUGCAAGCCAAUUAAUCUUAAUUUGGCUAUAUUUAGUAAAAAUGAGGUUGAUUUUAGAGAGAAAAAUUAAGUUUCAGUAGAAACUAUAAUACAUACUUGUGGAUAUUAGAUUCUAGUUCUGUUAAUUAUCUUUGAGGGGUAUUUAUAUCUGUAAAUUGGACUUGAUCCUGACUUCUUCUAGUUUACUGAACUAUCUAAGGACAAAUCUCCAAAAUAAUGUUUUCCAUUUUUUUCUAUCCUUUGCAUUUGGAAUCAUUGAGAAAUGAAACCAUUCUGUUUCCUGAAGCCCUGCAAAUGGAACUGAACAACUUGAUAUAAACUUAAGAGAGAUCACCACAAUAGCCCAUGUUUGGACAAUCUUCAUGACUGUUGCUGUGUAAGCCACUCAAAAACAUUCACCUGAACACCUGAUGACAUUGUCAGAGACAUUUCAAACUGCAAAAGAUGCUUCACCUUUGACAUUUAGAAAUCUUAUUGACUGACUAUCCACUGGGCUCAGAAACUAGUUUAUAAUUUGUUCCAACCAUUAACCUUGUUUCUGUUUUUGUUUCCAUAGAAAUGCUUCUUAUUAAAUACCAGAUUGCUUGUU